AUCCAAGUGCAGGGGUUUUACGCGUAUCAAUGAGGAUUUCGUCCGAGAUUGCGUUUUUGCUAGUUGAAAACUACAUACCCGACCACUUCCAGCAUGGCCUCGGCUGGCUGGGGAAUUUUUGGAAACCAAUUUAAUGU
RNAcentral lists this small nuclear RNA (137 nucleotides) under Neurospora crassa OR74A. RNAcentral describes it as "Neurospora crassa U4 spliceosomal RNA". It matches the Rfam family "U4 spliceosomal RNA". From Rfam's summary of the family: U4 small nuclear RNA (U4 snRNA) is a component of the major U2-dependent spliceosome. The structure of U4 snRNA from yeast and human has been reported. The record is from Rfam by way of RNAcentral. Lineage: Eukaryota; Fungi; Ascomycota; Sordariomycetes; Sordariales; Sordariaceae.